GACGAACGCUGGCGGCGUGCCUAAUACAUGCAAGUUGAGCGCUGAAGGUUGGUACUUGUCCCAACUGGAUGAGCAGCGAACGGGCGAGUAACGCGUGGGGAAUCUGCCUUUGAGCGGGGGACAACAUUUGGAAACGAAUGCUAAUACCGCAUAAAAACUUUAAACACAAGUUUUAAGUUUGAAAGAUGCAAUUGCAUCACUCAAAGAUGAUCCCGCGUUGUAUUAGCUAGUUGGUGAGGUAAAGGCUCACCAAGGCGAUGAUACAUAGCCGACCUGAGAGGGUGAUCGGCCACAUUGGGACUGAGACACGGCCCAAACUCCUACGGGAGGCAGCAGUAGGGAAUCUUCGGCAAUGGACGAAAGUCUGACCGAGCAACGCCGCGUGAGUGAAGAAGGUUUUCGGAUCGUAAAACUCUGUUGGUAGAGAAGAACGUUGGUGAGAGUGGAAAGCUCAUCAAGUGACGGUAACUACCCAGAAAGGGACGGCUAACUACGUG
This 497-nucleotide ribosomal RNA is filed under the name uncultured bacterium. Its description in RNAcentral is "partial 16S ribosomal RNA". It matches the Rfam family "Bacterial small subunit ribosomal RNA", at positions 28 to 507 of the family's 1533-position model. The record is from RNAcentral.